AUUGAACGCUGGCGGCAGGCCUAACACAUGCAAGUCGAGCGGAUGAAGGGAGCUUGCUCCUGGAUUCAGCGGCGGACGGGUGAGUAAUGCCUAGGAAUCUGCCUGGUAGUGGGGGAUAACGUCCGGAAACGGGCGCUAAUACCGCAUACGUCCUGAGGGAGAAAGUGGGGGAUCUUCGGACCUCACGCUAUCAGAUGAGCCUAGGUCGGAUUAGCUAGUUGGUGGGGUAAAGGCCUACCAAGGCGACGAUCCGUAACUGGUCUGAGAGGAUGAUCAGUCACACUGGAACUGAGACACGGUCCAGACCCCUACGGGAGGCAGCAGUGGGGAAUAUUGGACAAUGGGCGAAAGCCUGAUCCAGCCAUGCCGCGUGUGUGAAGAAGGUCUUCGGAUUGUAAAGCACUUUAAGUUGGGAGGAAGGGCAGUAAGUUAAUACCUUGCUGUUUUGACGUUACCGACAGAAUAAGCACCGGCUAACUUCGUG
This 484-nucleotide ribosomal RNA is filed under the name uncultured bacterium. Its description in RNAcentral is "partial 16S ribosomal RNA". It matches the Rfam family "Bacterial small subunit ribosomal RNA", at positions 30 to 507 of the family's 1533-position model. The record is from RNAcentral.